Molecule: long non-coding RNA, 2822 nt
Filed under: Triticum aestivum (bread wheat)
Lineage: Eukaryota; Viridiplantae; Streptophyta; Magnoliopsida; Poales; Poaceae
Description: long non-coding RNA (TAES_LNC028105)
Source: RNAcentral
UUCGAUAAGGCCGAGGGAGAGAGCCCGAGCGGCGGAGGAGGCGACGCGAUUCCAUGGCGAUUCUGAUCUUCCCCUCUCCUCGUGCUUGAUUUUUCCUCCGUGUUCCUUCGAUCCCGGCUCCCGUGGUACGUUGCUGCUGUCUCUGGUGGUUCCCCGUUUGAUUUUGCUCCUGUUGUGGUCAUGCUUUUUCAGAUCUAGGUGAAAUUCCUGUAUGUGGAUUCGGAUUUCGCAUGUUUCUGCUCGUGGUUCCCUGUAGCGGUUGUAGGUGAUGUUGUGUUGUUGUUGGUGGAUCUGUGGAAGGGGUGCUCAAGUCCGUCCUCUUCGUAGUUCGGCAAUUUCCCCUCUGCUCCCGCUCGAGUGAGUUGUGUUGGAGCUUGCAGCUGCGGGUUAUAGGCCGCCCCCCUGCUUGUAGUUGUGAUUUGUAGCCUUAGAUUGCUGCUGUAGGUGGUGGAUGUAGUCCUAGUGAUUGUUGUAGGGUUGAUUUCACUACGAAUUUUCUAGUUGGAGAUGCUCCAUCCUACCAUCUUGUAGGUGUGUCUGAAUUUCUUCAGAUCCUGUAGAAUUUCUUCCUCACCUGCUUGUAGUUGUUCUGGUAAUCAGUCAAACCGCCACCUAAUACAGGGUAUCCUGAUUACAAUGCCCAAUGCGUUACCUGUCACCAACCAAACGCCUCGUUAGUUGUUGUAGUUGCUUGUAGCUGCCUGUAGUGUUUGCCCAUGUGUUGUUCUAGGUUCUGUAGGGGUGGUAGUAACAUUUUGCUACAGUUCUCCCCUGUUUUUGUAGAUGUGGAUAUAGUUUACAUUUUUCUGCAGGUGGUAGAGGUAGUCACAGUGGUAGUUGGAGGGGUUGUAGUUGUUUCUCCUAGUAUUCGUCAUGACUGCCCUAUGGCUGGUGUCAUUGUGAAUUUGUUUUGCAACAGUCUGAAUUUGUUUUGUAGGGGUUGUUUGUUCAGUGUUCACAUGCAGUGUAAUUUAACCAGCAUUUUCACUGUUUUUACCACAUAAUGGUAGUGUAAUUUAACCAGCAUUUACCGUGUAAUCCGUCAUAGUUUCAGUUUUUCCAGUAUAAUGUGCCCUAGAAUAACUAUUUACAUUGUAAUCUAACCUUAUUUUUACUCUGUAAUUUAACCUUCUAAAUUCUCAGUGUAAAACAUGUCCCAAUUCUCAGUGUAAUUUUGUGCUAUAUUUACACUGUGAUUUUGUGCUAUUAUUGUUGUGUAAUUGUCCCGUAGUUUCAGUGUAAUACACAACUUAGUUUCAGUGUAAUCUUCACGAUAACUUCUGCAUAAUUGUCCCUUAGUUUCAUUGUAAUAUGCAACUUAGUUUCAUUGUAACUUAGUUUCUCUAUAACUUCAGUGUAAUUCACUGCAUAGUUUCAGUGUAAUUUUCACUAGAAUUACUGUGUAAUUUGACCAAUAGGUUGUUUGCAAUGUUCCAUCACAGUGUAAUUUGCGCCAAAGUUACAGUGUAAUUUUCAUUGUAACUACUGUGUAAUUUGUGCCAGAGUUUCAGUGAAAUUAUGAUGGCACUAUUACUGUGUAAUUUGUAGUGUACUUACACUGUAAUCUGUCCAUUUUCAGUUGAUUGCUUGUAGUGUAAUUCUUGUAGUGUAAUUACUGUGUAAUUUGUAUGUAGUCUGCCCAUUUUACAGUGUAAUUACUGCUAGAAUUGCUUUGUAUUUGUAGUGUAGUUACACCGUAAUGUGCCCCUUUUUUACAGAGUAAUUAUACUAUAACGGAUUUGCUAUUUUUCAGUCGACUGAUUUACAAGGCCAUCGUUCAAAUCUUUGUCCGUCCGUUGUCGCGCAGAGAUUCGCGCUCGAUCGCCCUGUCCUGUGUGGUUUUCGGGUUGGUUUUAUUUUUUUAGCCCGUUUGCGCUGCCCCGCCCCACCUGGACAGUUCACUGUUGGUUUUUAUCCCUGUGUAGUCCCCGUGUAGGAUUUCGCUGUAGUGGAAGUAGAUGCAACAAACCGCUGGAUCUAUGUGGAUGUUGGAGUGCUCAAUGUAGUUGUUCAGGUGUAAGUGUGCAAGUUGGUUGUCAGUGAGUUAUAGUGAUUGUGACUGGAUUUUUUCAGCUAAUCCACUCGACAUUAGAUGUGGUGCUGGUGUUUUUAGCAUUUUUGGAUGUGGGAUGCAUGUGUUUAGUUUGCUAGUUACCCUGGAUUUUACCUAGUAAUUCCAGUGUAUUUGUCACACCUUUUGAGUUGAUUUACAUUGUAUUUUUUAGUGUAUUUUUGAGUUGAUUCCCAUCAUUUUUCAGUGCCAAUGAUUCCAGUGUAAUCUAGUGUAUCUACAGUGUAAUUUAUCCCAGUUUUACAGUGAAUUUUCACCAACAACACCUUUUGAGUUGAUUUACAUUGUAUUUUUUAGUGUAUUUUUGAGUUGAUUCCUAUCAUUUUUCAGUGCCAAUGAUUCCAGUGUAAUCUAGUGUAUCUACAGUGUAAUUUAUCCCAGUUUUACAGUGAAUUUUCACCAACAACUCCAGUGUAUUUUACCCAAUAAUAGCGCUGUAAUUUGUCAUCGGAUUUAAAUGGACUGUAAUUUGAAUGUAAUUAUAGUGUACUACAGUGUAUUUGUCAUCGGAUUUUAAGUGGACUGUAAUUUGAUUGUAAUUACUGUAGUAUCUGACUUACAAUGUAAACUUAGUGUAGUUGCACUGUAACAUUAUUUCAUAGGGGAUUUACAGUGUAAUUUUCAGUUUAAUUGCACUGUAAGUAUUGAUAUCUGAUUUACAGUGUAAAUUCGGUGUAAUUCCACAGUAAUUAUGAGUGUACUCACAGUGACAAUUACGUCAGUGUAAUUACUCUGUAAUAUGUCCCAAUUC